This is a long non-coding RNA of Humulus lupulus (European hop), 3320 nucleotides long. RefSeq lists it as uncharacterized. NCBI's taxonomy places the organism in Eukaryota, Viridiplantae, Streptophyta, Magnoliopsida, Rosales, Cannabaceae. The transcript is spliced from 2 exons. The record is from RefSeq and is a predicted model, not a curated record.
GCCCAUGUAUACAGUGAAAAUGUGCUUGGUGAAGACCUAAAUUUCAGUUUGAACCAAACUAAAAGCAGAUGCUCUGCUUUUCUUGCAAAUAUCGACGAACAUAGCUCCAUUACUAUAACAUUAUUUGGUCAAAAAUAUAAUUUACCACCUUGGUUAGUUAGUAUUUUACCAGAUUGCAGAAACACAGUGUUCAACUCUGCAAAGGUAGGUGUUUCUAUUCCUGUGCAUUGGCUAUUAAUGAAUGGGCAUUAACCAUUUCUUGCCAUAUACUCUGUACAAGGUUUGCCUACACAUCAAUGCACUAUUACCUAUAUAACCUAUCUGAUGCUAAUCUAUUUAUUUGAGGACGAGUGUUAAUAAUUCUACUAUAUGAAUAUUUUAUACGAAUUAAAACAACGUAAUGAAUAAUAACUCCAUGCUUGAAGAGAAAAUUAAAAAAAGGCCUAUAUCUUUAGAACUGCUAAGUCUGACUCUCAAUUUUUAUUCAGACACGUCCACGUAUUUUUCAGUUAUCACCUAAUUUUAGUAGUUUCUUUUUUUCUUUUUCCCACUCAACCAUUUGAUGAUAUGUUUGGAUGGUGAGAUUAAAGGUGAGAUGUUAGUCUGUCUGUCUCUCUUCUUUAUACAAUGAUGUAUUGAAAUUAGUUGAUACUGACUUUAUAUUCUAAUUACUUUAGUAAGAUUACUGAGAAUUUAACAUGGGGUUAAAAUACAUAAUUAGCAUGUGAAUAGGGAAACUUAACAAAGUGAAAAAUGAAAACGAUUGUUUUCCAUAGAGCGGCUACAUAAUCAAGAGGAGGAAAAGUGGCCUAGAAAGAUUUGUCGAAUUGAAGGCAUGUGAUGGAAGAAUGGUGAGAUUUUGAGAGGAUGCUUUUCCUGAAUUAGCCAGAUUAUCUUCAAAGAGAACAGCCACAAUAUAGAAUUUUCAGAAAUUUGAUAAAAUGAGAGGCAACAACUCGAACUGGAACUUUCAUUUUAUAAGAAAUCUAAAUGAUAGAGAAGUCCCUGUAUUUAUAGAGGUACUGUUCAUGUUGGGAAGGAGAAGCAUUUGUAGUUAUAUGCAAGAUAGGAGAGUGUGGUUGGGUGAUAGAUCUGAAGAAUUUUCCUGCAAGUCUAUUUUUGAAAGUCAGAUAAUUCUAUUUGGUAUUUCCCUCUGGCAAUUUUUUUUUUUUUGGAAAAGUCCUCAGUUCUAUCAAAAUUUAAGAGGCUUUGUCCUGUUGCUGUCUUUGGGGUGUCUAAUGUACAUGGGACAUUACAAAAAAGACCUUUCCAGGCUUUAUGGCUGGAAAGAAAUAGAAGGAUUUUCAAAGAAGUUGAGAUUAUGCGAUAAAAUCAGAUAUUGGGUAGCAAUUUGAUCAUAUAAUGUAAACGAGUUUAAGGGCAUUUUGUUCGCUGACCUAGUUAGGGGCUGGAAUUAGUUUUUGUAAUUUCCUUUGGUUUUUUGUUUGAUGUUGGCGUGUUUUGACCCACACUGUUCUUGUAUUAUUAUUUCCAGGUUUAUGUUUCUUUAAAAAUAAAUAGAGCUGCUACAGUAUCUGGAAUCAUUGUUAUUGUUUCACUACAUUGAGCUAUAUCAUACUAGGUUGAGCGACACACUAGGGAAAUUGUUUGCAUAUAUAAGUAGAACAUGAGAUCAAACUACCAAUUAGUAUGUGUAAUUGUCUUGGUGGCAGCUUAUUUUUUUCCUUUUUAAACUAUUUUCUGUCAUCUAAAAUUUAUUGAAAGCAUGAGAAGAGCUCUCUUCCUGGAAUAUAACUUAUAAUGGAAUAGAAAAGGAAACCGAAUAUAAAGAAACAAGAAAAAACACUGUCAUGUAUCCCUACUUCCUUACAUGGAAUUUAGCACUUACCUUUCCCGAUCACUAAGAUACAAGUUCCAAGCCAAUGUUUUAAUUUCUUUCUGAAUCUUUUUCAUAGUUUUCUUAUCAGUUUUAAUGGUACAUUAUGUAUAAGUUAUUGUUAUCAUCAUUAUUAUUAUUAUUAAUUUUUAUGUGAAACAAAUUUGUAUUAAUAAUGGAUGAUAUGCUGUGUAUUACUGUAGACAGCCUUUGAAAGACUGCUUCAAUCUAAAACAUCCAGUAAGACGUAAAACAUAAAAACUAUCACAAAAACUAACUCAUUACAACCACAAAUACCAAUGACCGAGAAGCAUUGAGAACGAUUAUGCCUUAAAAUGCUUACAGUUGAAAAUCCAUACAGCUAGGGGUGAGCAUCUAAACCGACAAACCGCGGUGACCGACCGCACCGCACCAUACUACACCGCAAACCGCGGUGUCAAAAGUGUAAUGGUUCGGUAUGGUUUGUAUUUUAGCUAAACCGUGCGGUGCGGUGCGGUGCGCGGUUUGGCGGUGUGAAAUUUUGGUUUGCACCGCACCGCACCGCAUACUUACAAAUAUAUUAAAAAAAAUAAACUUUACAUAUAUACAAUUUUUUAUAGUUAUCCAAUAUGGGAGACUUGUAUAUUUUUUUUGUGUUUCACUGAACUUAAUUGAUAACUUGUGAUGUUUUUUAGAACUUAUUAAUGAUUUGUUAUGAACUAAGGAUUUAGUAUUUUUUUAAAAAUUUAAAUUUUUUUAUGGUAUAUUUUUUAACACAAACCGUGGAAAACCGCCCAAACCACACUGCAAAAAAUGGUUUGGUUUGGUCGGUUUGGUGCAACCAAAUCACACCGCAUGGUGUGUUCUAGUUACUAAACUGCACUUGUGGCGUGGUGUAUUAAAAAGUGUUCAAACCGCCCAAACCACACCGUGCUCACCCCUACAUACAGCCAACCAAGGCUUAACUUUUUCCCAGAUAACUCCCGUGUCCUCUUCUCCUUCAUUGAAAAUUUUAUUUCUUUCUAAUCAUAUACUGCCUAAUGGUACUCUUUAUAGAAGUUCCAAGUACAUAUGACAUUUUAUUGUCACUUGUUAUCUUAUAUUUAUAUGGUGCAUUCUUGGAGAAAGAUGGAGCAGGGUUUAGAGGGCAAGUUAAACUUACUGGAUUUCAAAAUGGGGAUAUAGACCUCUCAAAGUCUUUAUGGACCUACCAGGUUGGGCUCAAGGGAGAAUUCUUGAAGAUAUAUGCUGCAGAAGAAAAUGAAAAGGCAGGGUGGACUGAUUUAACUCCAGAUGCUGAUCCAUCGAUAUUAAGAGAGUCGCCAUCUAUUUCAGUUCGGGAGUCACAAGAUGAUUCUUAGUUUAUUUACAUUAAUUUACUAAGGAAUGAAUUUUAUGAAGUUUUUUUUAUUUUGGUAGGGGUAACCUUAAAAUGAUAACUUUAUGAUUUAUUUUAGUAUUGAACAUUAUAAAGAAUUUUAGCAUUAAACAUUUUAUUAUUGAA